CGCACAUUGCGCCCUGUGGUAUUCCGCGGGGCAUGCCUGUUCGAGCGUCAUUAUACCAAUCAAGCCUAGCUUGGUAUUGGAGUCCGCCGUCUGGCGGCUCUCAAAUGCAACGGCAGCCUAAGCAAAACCCUAAGUGUAGUAAAAUCUCUCGCUUUUGGGCACUGUGGCGACUCGCCGAACCCCACUUCUAAAGGUUGACCUCGGAUCAGGUAGGGAUACCCGCUGAACUUAA
This 232-nucleotide unclassified non-coding RNA is filed under the name Helotiales sp. RNAcentral's name for it is "partial contains 5.8S ribosomal RNA, internal transcribed spacer 2, and large subunit ribosomal RNA". The record is from RNAcentral. Lineage: Eukaryota; Fungi; Ascomycota; Leotiomycetes; Helotiales.